GGGCCCGUAGCUCAGCUGGGAGAGCGCAUCGUUCGCAAUGAUGAGGCCGGCGGUUCGAUCCCGCCCGGGUCCA
RNAcentral lists this transfer RNA (73 nucleotides) under Pseudomonadota bacterium. RNAcentral's name for it is "Proteobacteria bacterium tRNA-Ala". It matches the Rfam family "tRNA". Rfam says of the family: Transfer RNA (tRNA) molecules are approximately 80 nucleotides in length. The record is from RNAcentral. Lineage: Bacteria; Pseudomonadati; Pseudomonadota.